AACACUUCUACUCCGAAAAUAAACCAUCACGCUCUUAAAUUUGACUCCACUUGACAUUCCCGAGGAAGGAAGACAAAAUUACUGCGCCCCAGACGAAGCCUGAAAAUGACGCACUCUUUUUCGUCAUCAUCUUCUUCCACUUUCAAAAUUGAGCAAUGAAACCUCGAGAUAACCCGUGAAAGAGAGCUGUAUUCGAGAAGCAAAGCUUUACCAUUCAAAAGCCCC
Molecule: long non-coding RNA, 225 nt
Filed under: Panax ginseng (ginseng)
Lineage: Eukaryota; Viridiplantae; Streptophyta; Magnoliopsida; Apiales; Araliaceae
Description: long non-coding RNA (PGIN_LNC007698)
Source: RNAcentral